This 468-nucleotide ribosomal RNA is filed under the name uncultured bacterium. Its description in RNAcentral is "partial 16S ribosomal RNA". It matches the Rfam family "Bacterial small subunit ribosomal RNA", at positions 28 to 507 of the family's 1533-position model. The record is from RNAcentral.
GACGAACGCUGGCGGCGUGCUUAACACAUGCAAGUCGAACGGAAAGGCCCUGCUUUUGUGGGGUGCUCGAGUGGCGAACGGGGGAGUAACACGUGAGUAACCUGCCCUUGACUUUGGGAUAACUUCAGGAAACUGGGGCUAAUAUCGGAUAGGAGCUCCUGCUGCAUGGUGGGGGUUGGAAAGUUUCGGCGGUUGGGGAUGGACUCGCGGCUUAUCAGCUUGUUGGUGGGGUAGUGGCUUACCAAGGCUUUGACGGGUAGCCGGCCUGAGAGGGUGACCGGGCACAUUGGGACUGAGAUACGGCCCAGACUCCUACUGGAGGCAGCAGUGGGGAAUAUUGCACAAUGGGCGGAAGCCUGAUGCAGCAACGCCGCGUGCGGGAUGACGGCCUUCGGGUUGUAAACCGCUUUCGCCUGUGACGAAGCGUGAGUGACGGUAAUGGGUAAAGAAGCACCGGCUAACUACGUG